RNAcentral lists this ribosomal RNA (451 nucleotides) under uncultured bacterium. RNAcentral's name for it is "partial 16S ribosomal RNA". It matches the Rfam family "Bacterial small subunit ribosomal RNA", at positions 28 to 507 of the family's 1533-position model. The record is from RNAcentral.
GAUGAAUGCUGGCGGCGUGCCUAACACAUGCAAGUCGAGCGGCAGCGAGGGGUGCUUGCACCCUGUCGGCGAGCGACGAACGGCUGAGUAACGCGUAGGAAUUUGCCCCAAAGUGAGGAAUAACUGCCCGAAAGGGUAGCUAAUGCCGCAUAUGGUCUUCGGAUUAAAGGAUUUAUCCGCUUUGGGAGAAGCCUGCGUUGGAUUAGGUUGUUGGUAGGGUAAUGGCCUACCAAGCCGACGAUCCAUAGCUGGUCUGAGAGGAUGAUCAGCCAGACUGGAACUGAGACACGGUCCAGACUCCUACGGGAGGCAGCAGUGAGGAAUCUUCCACAAUGGGCGAAAGCCUGAUGGAGCAACGCCGCGUGAAGGAUGAAGGCCUUCGGGUUGUAAACUUCUUUUAUGAGUGAAGAAUAUGACGGUAACUCAUGAAUAAGCACCGGCUAACUACGUG